CCUACGGGAGGCAGCAGUGAGGAAUAUUGGUCAAUGGGAGAGAUCCUGAACCAGCCAAGCCGCGUGAGGGAAGACGGCCCUAUGGGUUGUAAACCUCUUUUGUCGGAGAACAAAACCCGGGACGUGUCCCGGACCGCGUGUAUCCGAAGAAAAAGCAUCGGCUAACUCCGUGCCAGCAGCCGCGGUAAUACGGAGGAUGCGAGCGUUAUCCGGAUGUAUUGGGUUGAAAGGGUGCGUAGGCGGUCCGUUAAGUCAGCGGUAAAAUUGCGGGGCUCAACCCCGUCGAGCCGUUGAAACUGGCAGACUUGAGUUGGCGAGAAGUACGCGGAAUGCGCGGUGUAGCGGUGAAAUGCAUAGAUAUCGCGCAGAACUCCGAUUGCGAAGGCAGCGUACCGGCGCCAGACUGACGCUGAGGCACGAAAGCGUGGGGAUCGAACAGGAUUAGAUACCCGAGUAGUC
This 459-nucleotide ribosomal RNA is filed under the name uncultured bacterium. Its description in RNAcentral is "partial 16S ribosomal RNA". It matches the Rfam family "Bacterial small subunit ribosomal RNA", at positions 338 to 795 of the family's 1533-position model. The record is from RNAcentral.